RNAcentral lists this ribosomal RNA (497 nucleotides) under uncultured bacterium. RNAcentral describes it as "partial 16S ribosomal RNA". It matches the Rfam family "Bacterial small subunit ribosomal RNA", at positions 28 to 507 of the family's 1533-position model. The record is from RNAcentral.
GAUGAACGCUGGCGGCGUGCCUAAUACAUGCAAGUCGAGCGAACAGACGAGGAGCUUGCUCCUCUGACGUUAGCGGCGGACGGGUGAGUAACACGUGGAUAACCUACCUAUAAGACUGGGAUAACUUCGGGAAACCGGAGCUAAUACCGGAUAAUAUAUUGAACCGUAUGGUUCAAUAGUGAAAGACGGUUUUGCUGUCACUUAUAGAUGGAUCCGCGCCGCAUUAGCUAGUUGGUAAGGUAACGGCUUACCAAGGCAACGAUGCGUAGCCGACCUGAGAGGGUGAUCGGCCACACUGGGACUGAGACACGGUCCAGACUCCUACGGGAGGCAGCAGUAGGGAAUCUUCCGCAAUGGGCGAAAGCCUGACGGAGCAACGCCGCGUGAGUGAUGAAGGUCUUCGGAUCGUAAAACUCUGUUAUUAGGGAAGAACAAAUGUGUAAGUAACUAUGCACGUCUUGACGGUACCUAAUCAGAAAGCCACGGCUAACUACGUG